UAAUUUUUAAUUUAAUUAAAAUAUUUCUUUUACAUUGAAAAAAUAAUUUUUAAAAUUAAAAUUAA
This 65-nucleotide transfer RNA is filed under the name Leptopilina boulardi. Its description in RNAcentral is "tRNA-Val". Lineage: Eukaryota; Metazoa; Arthropoda; Insecta; Hymenoptera; Figitidae. The record is from RNAcentral.